UCUUCACACUACUACAAAAAUGGCCAAAGAGACUACCUAUAGGAGACCGGUUGAGGUUACUAACCCAUUUCUUAAAUAUAGGAAACCAUUUAUUAUCUAAAACCAGUCUCUUAAGUUUAAGUAUUUGACUAAUAAAAAAUGUUGUUGUGGAAUAAGAGACUGUUUCCAUGUACAACCGGUUUCCUUGAUAUAUUUUAUUUUUUUUAUUCAAUUUUUUUUUAACAUAAUACACUAUUAUACGUAUGUAUUCUUAUUGUGAAGAUUUAGGAGACUACUUCUAACUUCAACCGGUUUCCUAAAAAAUAAUAAUUUUAAAACUUAAUAUCUUUUUAAUUAAUACUAAUGCAGUAUAAGUUUUAUAUAAAACUAUUUACUUUUAAAAUUAUGCAACAAAUACAAUAGAAAAAAAACUACCUCUCCUAAUAUUACUCUAGAUCGUGAUUAAUACCUGUAAGGCUGUAACCUGUCAAAAAAAAAAAAAACCGAGCCAUUGCUUCUUGCGCCAUAGCAACUUACGCCAUAGCUUGAACAAUCUCAUAGCUUCAGUCGACUCGCACACCAUUCCUACAACCACCACUCCCCAUUAUCCAGAAAUUCUCCCCCAUAAUCCAAAUUCUUCCAUCAAAAUUUCACCUUUGCUUUCGUAAAAUUCAUAAUCAAGGCUCUCACAUUGUUCAAGUUGUGAUUCUCGUCAAUUAUUUUCGUCAAUUCUUCUGGAAUGUGUGAUUCUUUUCGCUAAUUUGUGAUUCAUUUGGGAAGAAAAGACAUUUUCGAAAAAGUAUAAAAUUGGUGCACUUGUAAAGGUUGAAUUUAUAAGUUCUUUGUUCGUUGAUGAAGGAGAGUUUCUGAAAAAGAAAAUUAUCUGUGCUACAUACUCCAUUGAUUCAACUGCAAUUACACAAAGGUCGGGGAUUUAAACUGAAUUGCGCUGUGCUACAUACUCCAUUGAUUCAACUGCAAUUACACAAAGGUCGGUGCAAUCCCGGGAAUUCAAACUGAACUGAAUACUCGAUUGAUUCAAUCUGCAAUUACUCAAAGGUUACUGGGUUAUAACACCAAGAAAGAAAGGAAAGAAGCAGCAAGUAUCCCAAGGAUUCGUGUGCGUGAACUGUCUGAAUUUAUGUCCUCGUCAAGCUCUGGGCUCCAAAGAUUGUGGCUAUUAUGUUUGUCGUUACAUGAUUGAAACUAUCGCAAGUAGACGACAAUUAAUUCCUGAUAAGUACUUUCCAGGGAUUCCUAGCACUUAUUCCCAAGAGAUGAUUGACGAGUUAAGAGAUAUAUGGGUGGAUUAUUUAAACAAUCAAAUACAAGACGAUGGAGAUUGAAGACGACGGUCAAGUUUGAAUUGUACAUAUUAUUUAAUUAUUUUAGAAUUUUAGUUGUAGUAGCUAGCAUUAGAUUAUAGAAAUUUUAUUUUAAGACAUCAUUAGAAGAAAUUGAUGUUUUGAAUAAAAUUGAUUUUGUAUAUAAAUUAAAUGUAGCAAAUAUUUUUUUCACGUGAUGAAUAAAGCAAGCAAGUCGUUAUAUUGAAUAAUAUUGUUGUGGCUAUUUAUAAAUUGUUAUACAAACCUGUCAAAAAAAAUUUAAAAAAAAUAAAUUGUUUUAAUAGAAAAAAAAGAGUAUAUACGAAGAGCCGCAAAUACAUGGUAAUGUAUGUAUUGUAACAUUUUACUAAACCU
This is a long non-coding RNA of Beta vulgaris subsp. vulgaris (sugar beet), 1679 nucleotides long. RefSeq lists it as uncharacterized. The transcript is spliced from 5 exons. NCBI's taxonomy places the organism in Eukaryota, Viridiplantae, Streptophyta, Magnoliopsida, Caryophyllales, Amaranthaceae. The record is from RefSeq and is a predicted model, not a curated record.